GGCGCCCCACGCGCGCGCGUCGCUCUCCCGCCCGCUCGCUCCCCGGCGCUCACACCUGAGCUCACUCCCCGCUCGGCCCCGCGGAAGCUCCGCCGCGCCAUGUCUUCGCCUCCCGAAGGGAAACUAGAGACUAAAGCUGGACACCCGCCCGCCGUGAAAGCUGGUGGAAUGCGAAUUGUGCAGAAACACCCACAUACAGGAGACACCAAAGAAGAGAAAGACAAGGAUGACCAGGAAUGGGAAAGCCCCAGGUCCCAGCCUCCUUCUAAGAUUGUCACACUCCCAUCUACACCGGCAGGACUGUUUUGAUCUGAUGGAAGGAGGGAAGAAAGGAAAUGGGGCUGUCAGUUCUCCCUUCCAGGCUCUGCUCUGUGUGUCUGCACGCAGUCAUCCUCUUGGAACGGAGGCUCCUUUGUUUUUAUGGUGUGACUCGAAAGGUUGCACUAUUUAUCAGGAGUGUUUUCUUAUUACAUAAACAUAUGAACUGAAUUUAAAUCAACUCUCCAGUGCUUGGAUUUUAUAGAAUGAAAUAUGUAAUAAUAACCACAUCAAAGUAAGAGCCCUUAUUGAGUUUAUUACAUUAAAAUGACUAGGCCUGAAGUUUUUAAGUCCUUUUUAUCUAAAUAAGCCCUGUUGACUUCAAUUGUCUCAGAAGGCAAAGCACUCAGAAAACACUUGGUAAAUCAGUAAUAAUUAUCUUGGACUUUGAUUCUCUAAAGAUAAAAUAGUCAAUUAAUUUGAUUACUU
RNAcentral lists this small RNA (747 nucleotides) under Pan troglodytes (chimpanzee). RNAcentral describes it as "processed transcript". Lineage: Eukaryota; Metazoa; Chordata; Mammalia; Primates; Hominidae. The record is from RNAcentral.